RNAcentral lists this transfer RNA (70 nucleotides) under Stenocercus stigmosus. RNAcentral describes it as "tRNA-Trp". It matches the Rfam family "tRNA". From Rfam's summary of the family: Transfer RNA (tRNA) molecules are approximately 80 nucleotides in length. The record is from RNAcentral. Lineage: Eukaryota; Metazoa; Chordata; Lepidosauria; Squamata; Tropiduridae.
AGAAACUUAGGAUAAUACAAACCAAGGGCCUUCAAAGCCCAAAACAGAGAUGAAACCCCUCUAGUUUCUG